AUGCACGCUGGCGGCGUGCCUCAUACCUGCAAGUCGAGCGCACAGACGAGGAGCUUGCUCCUCUGACGUUAGCGGCGGACGGGUGAGUAACACGUGGAUAACCUACCUAUAAGACUGGGAUAACUUCGGGAAACCGGAGCUAAUACCGGAUAAUAUAUUGAACCGCAUGGCUCAAUAGUGAAAGACGGUUUUGCUGUCACUUAUAGAUGGAUCCGCGCCGCAUUAGCUAGUUGGUAAGGUAACGGCUUACCAAGGCAACGAUGCGUAGCCGACCUGAGAGGGUGAUCGGCCACACUGGAACUGAGACACGGUCCAGACUCCUACGGGAGGCAGCAGUAGGGAAUCUUCCGCAAUGGGCGAAAGCCUGACGGAGCAACGCCGCGUGAGUGAUGAAGGUCUUCGGAUCGUAAAACUCUGUUAUUAGGGAAGAACAAAUGUGUAAGUAACUAUGCACGUCUUGACGGUACCUAAUCAGAAAGCCACGGCUAACUACGUG
Molecule: ribosomal RNA, 496 nt
Filed under: uncultured bacterium
Lineage: Bacteria
Description: partial 16S ribosomal RNA
Rfam family: Bacterial small subunit ribosomal RNA
Source: RNAcentral